GGUAUUUACAAAGCUAAAAGUCAAGCAAAAUAUCUUGGAGAACCAGCAAUGGAAUAUCAUCAACAACGUCUCAAAACAGGGGAUUUCAAAGGCAUUUCGCAAGGGGGGAAGAUGAAAGGUCCAAAUUUCGCAAGGUGAAAAGCCACCUUGCGAAAUUUGGCAUUUCGCAAGGUGCCUAAAUCCACCUUGCGAAAUUUCGCAAGGUGGUUUCUUCAUG
Molecule: long non-coding RNA, 217 nt
Filed under: Vitis vinifera (wine grape)
Lineage: Eukaryota; Viridiplantae; Streptophyta; Magnoliopsida; Vitales; Vitaceae
Description: long non-coding RNA (VVIN_LNC002207)
Source: RNAcentral